GGCAAGAUGGCCGAGCGGUCUAAGGCGCUGCACUCAAGGAUUAUUCCAUUCCUUCUCCAGAUCACAUCUGAAGAGCAUUGCAGUCACGCAAGUGGCGUGGGUUCGAAUCCCACUCUUGUCA
This 121-nucleotide transfer RNA is filed under the name Aspergillus japonicus CBS 114.51. Its description in RNAcentral is "tRNA-Leu". It matches the Rfam family "tRNA". Rfam says of the family: Transfer RNA (tRNA) molecules are approximately 80 nucleotides in length. Their secondary structure includes four short double-helical elements and three loops (D, anti-codon, and T loops). Further hydrogen bonds mediate the characteristic L-shaped molecular structure. tRNAs have two regions of fundamental functional importance: the anti-codon, which is responsible for specific mRNA codon recognition, and the 3' end, to which the tRNAs corresponding amino acid is attached (by aminoacyl-tRNA synthetases). tRNAs cope with the degeneracy of the genetic code in two manners: having more than one tRNA (with a specific anti-codon) for a particular amino acid; and 'wobble' base-pairing, i.e. permitting non-standard base-pairing at the 3rd anti-codon position. The record is from RNAcentral. Lineage: Eukaryota; Fungi; Ascomycota; Eurotiomycetes; Eurotiales; Aspergillaceae.